RNAcentral lists this ribosomal RNA (303 nucleotides) under uncultured bacterium. RNAcentral describes it as "partial 16S ribosomal RNA". It matches the Rfam family "Bacterial small subunit ribosomal RNA", at positions 507 to 807 of the family's 1533-position model. The record is from RNAcentral.
AGCAGUCGCCACGGUAAUACGAAGGGUGCAAGCGUUACUCGGAAUUACUGGGCGUAAAGCGUGUGUAGGUGGUUGUUUAAGUCUGUCGUAAAAGCCCUGGGCUCAACCUGGGAAUUGCGAUGGAUACUGGGCGACUAGAGUGCGGUAGAGGAUAGUGGAAUUUCCGGUGUAGCAGUGAAAUGCGUAGAGAUCGGAAGGAACAUCUGUGGCGAAGGCGACUAUCUGGGCCAACACUGACACUGAGACACGAAAGCGUGGGGAGCAAACAGGAUUAGAUACCCCUGUAGUCCCUGUCUCUUAUAC